This 501-nucleotide ribosomal RNA is filed under the name uncultured bacterium. RNAcentral's name for it is "partial 16S ribosomal RNA". It matches the Rfam family "Bacterial small subunit ribosomal RNA", at positions 30 to 523 of the family's 1533-position model. The record is from RNAcentral.
AUUGAACGCUGGCGGCAGGCUUAACACAUGCAAGUCGAGCGGGGGAAGGUAGCUUGCUACCGGACCUAGCGGCGGACGGGUGAGUAAUGCUUAGGAAUCUGCCUAUUAGUGGGGGACAACAUCUCGAAAGGGAUGCUAAUACCGCAUACGUCCUACGGGAGAAAGCAGGGGAUCUUCGGACCUUGCGCUAAUAGAUGAGCCUAAGUCGGGUUAGCUAGUUGGUGGGGUAAAGGGCUACCAAGGCGACGAUCUGUAGCGGGUCUGAGAGGAUGAACCGCCACACUGGGACUGAGACACGGCCCAGAAUCCUACGGGAGGCAGCAGUGGGGAAUAUUUGACAAUGGGGGGAACCCUGAUCCAGCCAUGCCGCGUGUGUGAAGAAGGCCUUAUGGUUGUAAAGCACUUUAAGCGAGGAGGAGGCUACUUUAGUUAAUACCUAGAGAUAGUGGACGUUACUCGCAGAAUAAGCACCGGCUAACUCUGUGCCAGCCGCCGCCGUAA